AUGUACCCACGUACACUCCGGUUCCUCCGCGCCGCCCGCACCCACCUGACGAUCGCUCGCUACGCUUGUUGGCC
RNAcentral lists this small RNA (74 nucleotides) under Xanthomonas hortorum. RNAcentral's name for it is "sX9 sRNA". It matches the Rfam family "Xanthomonas sRNA sX9". Lineage: Bacteria; Pseudomonadati; Pseudomonadota; Gammaproteobacteria; Lysobacterales; Lysobacteraceae. The record is from RNAcentral.